CUAGUAAUGGUCAUGCCCCCUUUAUUAUACGUUUCUUAUUCUCCAACAUGCAACCAACUAUUCUGCAUAUUCUCCACCCCCGUGUCAGGUGAUCUUCCUGGUCACUUGCCAUGUUUUUUUUUUUUCUCCCUGCACGUCAUUAGUGCGGGCUCCCACAUGAUGAGAGCAGGGCUUACCUGUCCCUCCCCUCUCCCCACUUGGAGGCAACGCCCCCUUUUCCACACUGACCCAUAGCAACGCAGGCUCCUUUACAGACCCCUCCCACCUUACUCCUCCCCCUCUCCUAUUUAAAAGCCAAGCAGCCCCACAAUGUCAGACAUUGCUGGAUGGCUGCAGCAGCUGUACACACUCUACACUGCUUGUGUUUUCUUCCCAUCUUCCGAUCCCUCUACUGACCUCUCUGGCCACUUUUUGUCAUUACAGGUAUGUCUCUAGCCUCAUAUAUAAAAUCUUGGUUCAGCUUUCUUUUUUGCGAUCCUUUUUUGCGUUCUUUUUCGUUUUUGUUGCCUGCGGCACCGUUGAUAUUAUCCUGUCCUCUUAUUUAUAUUUUGGACAGGUAAAAAAAUAUAUAUAUACAAUCAAUAAACUUUUACGCUGUGACACUUCGGGCCAAAGGUCUUGCUACGCUGUGAUUGAUAUUAGAUGCCAGUCCUCACUCCUCUCCUUACCAUCUGAGGCUUGCCAUGCGUCCCGAUUGCGAUGUCCUUUUAAGGGGUGUGCUGAGCCGUUGAAACUUCUCGGGUGAAAAGUUGUCUGUUACACUUUCUGACUCCACACAUACUUC
This is a long non-coding RNA of Rana temporaria (common frog), 784 nucleotides long. RefSeq lists it as uncharacterized. The record is from RefSeq and is a predicted model, not a curated record. Lineage: Eukaryota; Metazoa; Chordata; Amphibia; Anura; Ranidae. The transcript is spliced from 3 exons.